AGCUGAUUUCUUCGGAAUGAAAUUAAGUGGAUUAGUGGCGAACGGGUGAGUAACACGUGAGUAACCUGCCUUACACAAGGGGAUAGCCUUUGGAAACGAAGAAUAAUACCCUAUAAAGUUAGUCAAUCGCAUGGUAGACUAACCAAAGAUUUAUCGGUGUAAGAUGGACUUGCGUCUGAUUAGCUAGUUGGUGAGAUAAAAGCCCACCAAGGCGACGAUCAGUAGCCGGCUUGAGAGAGUGUACGGCCACAUUGGGACUGAGACACGGCCCAAACUCCUACGGGAGGCAGCAGUGGGGAAUUUUGCACAAUGGGGGAAACCCUGAUGCAGCGACGCCGCGUGAUUUAGAAGGCCUUCGGGUUGUAAAAAUCUUUUUUAUGGGAUGAAAAUGACAGUACCAUAAGAAUAAGGUCCGGCUAAAUACGUGCCAGCAGCCGCGGUAAUACGUAUGGACCGAGCGUUGUCCGGAAUCAUUGGGCGUAAAGGGUACGUAGGCGGCCUAGUAAGUUAGAAGUGAAAUAAUAUAGCUCAACUAUAUAAAGCUUUUAAAACUGUUAGGCUUGAGAGAUGAAAGGGAAAGUGGAAUUCCUAGUGUAGCGGUGAAAUGCGCAGAUAUUAGGAAGAAUACCGGUGGCGAAGGCGACUUUCUGGUCAUCAUCUGACGC
This 665-nucleotide ribosomal RNA is filed under the name uncultured bacterium. Its description in RNAcentral is "bacterial SSU rRNA". It matches the Rfam family "Bacterial small subunit ribosomal RNA", at positions 65 to 746 of the family's 1533-position model. The record is from RNAcentral.